GGGCUCGUAGCUCAGCUAGGUAGAGCGGCAGGCUCUUAACCUGUUGGUCAGGGGUUCGAACUGCAACUUGCUGG
This 74-nucleotide transfer RNA is filed under the name Thermoplasmata archaeon. Its description in RNAcentral is "tRNA-Lys". The record is from RNAcentral. Lineage: Archaea; Methanobacteriati; Thermoplasmatota; Thermoplasmata.